This 474-nucleotide ribosomal RNA is filed under the name uncultured Sphingobacteriales bacterium. RNAcentral's name for it is "bacterial SSU rRNA". It matches the Rfam family "Bacterial small subunit ribosomal RNA", at positions 906 to 1382 of the family's 1533-position model. Lineage: Bacteria; Pseudomonadati; Bacteroidota; Sphingobacteriia; Sphingobacteriales. The record is from RNAcentral.
GGAAUUGACGGGGCCCGCACAAGCGGAGGAGCAUGUGGUUUAAUUCGAUGAUACGCGAGGAACCUUACCUGGGCUUGAAAGUUAGUGACAUUCUGUGAAAGCAGAACUUCCGCAAGGACACGAAACUAGGUGCUGCAUGGCUGUCGUCAGCUCGUGCCGUGAGGUGUUGGGUUAAGUCCCGUAACGAGCGCAACCCCUAUCAUUAGUUGCCAUCAGGUCAUGUUGGGGACUCUAAUGAGACUGCCCGCGCAAGCGGUGAGGAAGGUGGGGACGACGUCAAGUCAUCACGGCCCUUACGUCCAGGGCUACACACGUGCUACAAUGGUAGAUACAGCAGGUUGCCACAUGGUAACAUGGAGCUAAUCCCAAAAGUCUAUCUCAGUUCGGAUUGAGGUCUGCAACUCGACCUCAUGAAGCUGGAUUCGCUAGUAAUCGAAAAUCAGCAAUGUUUCGGUGAAUACGUUCCCGGGCCUU